ACGUUAAGAUUUCAUUCACCUUGAAGGGGGGUGGGCCCCCCGCAUCAUCACAGUUCCUUGGGGUUCAUUGGGCUAAAUCGUCCUGCUCUUGUGUGUGUGUGUCCUCUGGAUUAGCCACAGCAAUGAAGAUCUUAGUGCGCAGGGUAGAAGGAGCUGCCUGGCUCCUUCCGUCAGGACCUUCUCGCUCCAGCCUCCACAUCUAGCCUUGCCCCUUAUGCUCUAGGAUUCAUUCUGGCUUCUAAUCCUUUAUUGGUAGAAUAUUAAGAGCUCCCCAGGGGUUCUUCUUACCAAGCUAACCUUGAGUCAACCUUUGUCCUUGACCACCUGAGCCCCCCAUCUCUGGGUCCUGCCCAUUCUUUAUCAGCUGGCAUCCUGGCUAUCCUAGGACCUCAGUUCUCCUGUGACCAGGGUCCUGCUCUUAAGCUCCCAUCUCUCAGAGCUCAGAGUCUUGUCCUGUCACCACCUCCCAGCAACUAUGCCUCUGGUCUUACGUCCAAGCUGCCAGAUUCCCUAUUCCCAAGUGCUUCCCAAGUGUUGGUCCCUGAUACUUAGAGCCAACUGCCUGAAGUUGCCUGAAACCAAGUGUCUGAAACCCUGACUUGGGCCAGUUUUCUAUGCUCUCAGCUGGGUCAACACACUGGACCUGGGGCUCAGCCCUCAGCCUUGGCUCAGGUACUUCUGCUCCUCUGAGCCAUUCCCCUCAAACUGCUCUCUGCCUCACAAAUUCUCUUUUAGUGGACCAAGGCCUAGGGUACUUGAGGACAAGUGGUUGGAGGUGGCAUUGGAGACGGAGACAAGGGCUGGGUUUAAAGGGACUUGUGGCCAGUUAGGGCGUUUGAACUUUAUUUUGAACACAAUGUGGACUCACUGCUUUUCCUUUCUGUUGAGAGAAGUUGAAAGAGAGACAGAAGAUGUUUGGAGCUGAUUCAUGUGGACAGUGGACCCCAAAGAGACUACAGCUUCAUUACGGCCUUGUUCUGUUGUUUUCAAGUUGGUUCUCUGGCUUUCCCUUGAGUCUCUGAAUGCGUCCAUGUCCUUCCAACAUAUUCCUGCUUCUCUUCAGUUAUCUAGUCUGAUUCAGCUACCUGUCACUGAAGCACACAACUGACAUGACAAGGCUGUUCCCUGGAUUUAUCCAAGAGGACCACUCCAGGCCAAACGUAUCUCCAAUUGCUCCUUCUCCCCCUGCUCGCCUCCAGCCUCAUGGAUUCACCAAACAAAAACUGUUAGCUGCAAUUUGGCUUGUUCUUGAAGACAGAGACCAAACAGCUUCCUUGAACUCCACACUGGAAUCAUUCAAACAUG
Odocoileus virginianus texanus is the source of this 1305-nucleotide non-coding RNA. The record is from RefSeq and is a predicted model, not a curated record. NCBI's taxonomy places the organism in Eukaryota, Metazoa, Chordata, Mammalia, Artiodactyla, Cervidae.